AUGACAGGCUGCAGGAGGAGGGGGAGGAUGGCAGGGACCCUCUAUCCAAGCAGGGCCCUACCGUGCCCUCAGGGAAGGCCUGGGGCGCAGGGCCCCAAGCAGGUUCCCCCACCACAGCCCACCCUCCAGACCUUGCAGGCCGUUCCCCCCCACCCCGUUCUCCACUCUUCUGAGCUGCUGAGAGCUAACCUCAAGUCUUGGGGCGCAAGGAAAAGUGAAGGACUCAACGCCCCUCCCGGCCCCCCCACCCCCGCCCCGGAAGCAGGCAAUCUGCGGGCCCCAACACUAGUGCCAGUGAGUCACCCACACUCUAGCUGUCAUCCCUGCGGUGCCAGGAACCUCCCAGUCCAGGUCCCUCGGGCUAAGGGUGGCGGGAGGAGCUCCAACCGCCCCGCGGGCGGGGCCAAAGGCGCGCAGGCCCCCCCAGCCCCCACACCUGUCUGCGCCACACCUGCCGCCUGCCCGCUGUCAUUCCCCCGUGUGGCCCCUCGGCCUCCAGGGCAAGGCCACCCGCCCAAGUCCAGCCUCGCGCCCACUGAGCCCCACCCUCGCGGAGUUCCCGCGCUUUCGGCAGCGCUCGACCAAGGUCCUGCGGGGAAGGGGCUCCCGGGCGCAGGACCCCGUGCCCAGACCCCUGCCCCGGGGUUCUCGGGACUGUCCCCGACAGCAAGGGCCCGGCCUCGCCCCCGCUCUGCUUUGUCCUUUGAGGACCCCCCCACGCCCGCCCCCGUGCUGCCCCCCCACCGCCCCCUGAUCGAUCCCCACCUGGCAGGGCCCCCGCCCCCCCCCCGUGCAGCCCGCCCCCUCCCCGUCAUCCCAACCCGGCAGGGGGUCCCAGGUGCUGCCCCCUCCCCGCCUCCCUCCCCAUCCCCACCCGGCGGGGCCCCGCGUGCUGCCCCCUCCCUCCUCCCCGCCCGGCAGGUACCCCCCUCCCCGCCCCCUCCUCCACCCCCACUGUGCUGCCCCCCUCCCCACCCCCCUCCGCGAUCCCCACCGGGCAGGGCCCUUCCCCCGUACUACCCCGCCCCCUCCCCCCCAUCCCCACCCAGCAGGUUCCCCCCCCCCGCGUGCUGCCCCCCUCCCCUCCCCUCCCUCGUCCCCUAUCCUUACCCCGCAGGUCCCACCCCCCGCUGCUGCCCCCUCCCCUCCCCGCCCCCCUCCCCACAGGUCCCCCCGUGCUGCCCCUCCCCUCCCGCUCCUCCCCGCCCCGCCCCCUCCCCUCCCGCUCCUCCCCGCCCCGCCCCUCCCCUCCCCCUCCCCCUCCCCACCCGGCAGGUCCCCCCUCCCCUCACCCCCCCCCCCCCGGCCGGGCCCCCGCGCUGCGCUCCCGCCGCCCAGGUUGGGGCGGCCGCGCUGGUUAGGUAG
RNAcentral lists this long non-coding RNA (1365 nucleotides) under Canis lupus familiaris (dog). Its description in RNAcentral is "lncRNA (ENSCAFG00040016671.1)". Lineage: Eukaryota; Metazoa; Chordata; Mammalia; Carnivora; Canidae. The record is from RNAcentral.